This 216-nucleotide ribosomal RNA is filed under the name Staphylococcus capitis. RNAcentral describes it as "partial 16S ribosomal RNA". It matches the Rfam family "Bacterial small subunit ribosomal RNA", at positions 1 to 210 of the family's 1533-position model. Lineage: Bacteria; Bacillati; Bacillota; Bacilli; Caryophanales; Staphylococcaceae. The record is from RNAcentral.
UUUAUGGAGAGUUUGAUCCUGGCUCAGGAUGAACGCUGGCGGCGUGCCUAAUACAUGCAAGUCGAGCGAACAGACGAGGAGCUUGCUCCUCUGACGUUAGCGGCGGACGGGUGAGUAACACGUGGAUAACCUACCUAUAAGACUGGGAUAACUUCGGGAAACCGGAGCUAAUACCGGAUAACAUGUUGAACCGCAUGGUUCAACAGUGAAAGACGG